AAAACGACACUUAAUAUGAAACAGAUGGAGUAUCUUCCAAUAGAAAACAAUAAGUAUGAGAUAAUAAGUCAAUAAAAAAGGACAAAGGAGGGCUGAAUAAGGGAAAGCAGCAAGAUGAGGAUCAACUUAAUGUGUCGGUGCCGCACGCCCAACGUACGUUAUCGUAUCAGCAAUUUGUCAACACUAGGUGACGGGUAGGUACAUAUAUAAAUAAUGGAUUGUGAAGUUAGUAUAAGUCAAACAAGAACAAAUUUAUCUGUGGGUGCUGGGUGGUGGCAUGGUCCCUAACUUUGGAAAAAAAACUGUGCAAAAUUAAAUCUGAUAAAAAAAAGUUGUAAUUUGAGAAAGAAAAAAAAACAUCGAUGCCUUAAUUCUUCU
Molecule: long non-coding RNA, 378 nt
Filed under: Brassica rapa (field mustard)
Lineage: Eukaryota; Viridiplantae; Streptophyta; Magnoliopsida; Brassicales; Brassicaceae
Description: long non-coding RNA (BRAP_LNC000422)
Source: RNAcentral